This 1092-nucleotide long non-coding RNA is filed under the name Anas platyrhynchos (mallard). RNAcentral describes it as "lncRNA (ENSAPLG00020001577.1)". The record is from RNAcentral. Lineage: Eukaryota; Metazoa; Chordata; Aves; Anseriformes; Anatidae.
UGUGCAGAAGACUGUGAUUUAUAUAUAUAUAUAUACACACACAUAUAUAUAUAUGAUAAAAAUACUGUUUUUUGUUAGACAACGUGUAAGGAUUUUUACCUGUUUGUUCUGGGCAGCACCUCAGUAAAAGUUUUGCAGAGUUGCUGCUCCAGAACUUAACAUGUUUGUAUGCACUUGCUCAUCAGGCGUUCCUGCUCUCCCUAACUCAGUAUCGAGGGCACAUGAGGCUCUGAAGAGCAAGUGAAGAGAAAAAUAAUGAUAUGUGCUGUGCACUGAACUAUAUGCAUCCUUGUACACCGAAAAGCACACCAGUUCUGGACUUCACAGCAACUGAAACAGCAGGCGAGGCUUUAUUGCCAUCCUUCUGGAAGGCUGGUUGUAAACCAGUUCACCCCCAUGGAACCUGUAUAAAACCAGUAGGAUUGGUUAUUGUCUUCUUUCCUUAUUGAUUAUUUUCUUCCUCCUUUAUGUGCACUGGUAUAUUAUUGUUUUAUGAAUGUUGGGGCUGCUGGCAGGAACUGACAUGGCUUUUCAUCCUAAUAUUUUAUGGUGUUCCUUUUUAGAUAUACUCUUGGGCAUUUAUGUAUGGUGUUUCCUUGUGUAGGUUCUAACUUCAGGGAGCUACCUGUAGAAUUCAGUGUAUGAUAAGAGUAUUUUUUCAUAUUUAAGUGGGAAAAUUAAUGCUCCCAUUAAAGACAACUAGUUGAAAGCCUAAUGAAAAGGGAACACUGUGGUUAUAACUUGUAUUGCAAAUCUUCUGUAAUUAAUGGCAACUUCAUUAGUUAAUAAAGUCGGUAUUUUUGUAACCUUGUUUAUUCUUAUUAUUCUUAAUAAAGUAUUUUAUAAAACAAACAAACAAACAACAAAAAAAAAAACAACAAAAAAAACCCACCAACAUAAUUAGCAUUAUAUUUCUUCAUGAAGAAGGUUUGGAACUGCAGUGCUAGGCUUAGAAAAAUGAGUGUCUGCCAAUGAAAAUGAGUGUCUCCCUAAUUUCAGCAAGGGAUUUUACUGUGCAGCGUAAGGAGGGCUGGUAUUUUAAAGACCUUCAUGCAUCUAAUAGGCAAGACCACACAUGAAAGAUAAAACCAA